This is a long non-coding RNA of Hyaena hyaena (striped hyena), 347 nucleotides long. RefSeq lists it as uncharacterized. The record is from RefSeq and is a predicted model, not a curated record. The transcript is spliced from 2 exons. Lineage: Eukaryota; Metazoa; Chordata; Mammalia; Carnivora; Hyaenidae.
CCUACACCUGUAACUUUGGAAAAGGGUCUGGGAUGGAAAUAUAACAUGGAGUUGUCAUUGCUCUCUCAGCAACCGAACUCACUGAUGUGAAUGAGAUCGCCAGGGAGAACAAGAAGAAAACCUCAGACUAACCAGGAGAUGUGACUCAGGAGAAGAUGAGCUAAAACUUAGCUCUCUGGACCAGAUCUUUUGCUCGUGUCUUAUAUUUUCCCUUAAAAAACUGUGUGUGCGUGUGUUUGGGCUUUGGGUGCAUUUCAUGGGAGAAAAAUCUCUCUUGCAUAUUCUGUAGUUUACAACAAAAAUUGAAAAACAAAUAAAGCAUGCGAAAAUGUUCUUAGACAUAGAUA